CAGUCGCCGCGGUAAUACAGAGGGUGCGAGCGUUAAUCGGAUUUACUGGGCGUAAAGCGUGCGUAGGCGGCUUCUUAAGUCGGAUGUGAAAUCCCUGAGCUUAACUUAGGAAUUGCAUUCGAUACUGGGAAGCUAGAGUAUGGGAGAGGAUGGUAGAAUUCCAGGUGUAGCGGUGAAAUGCGUAGAGAUCUGGAGGAAUACCGAUGGCGAAGGCGGCCCCCUGGACAAAGACUGACGCUCAGGUGCGAAAGCGUGGGGAGCAAACAGGAUUAGAUACCCGGGUAGUCCCUGUCUCUUAUAC
This 301-nucleotide ribosomal RNA is filed under the name uncultured bacterium. Its description in RNAcentral is "partial 16S ribosomal RNA". It matches the Rfam family "Bacterial small subunit ribosomal RNA", at positions 509 to 807 of the family's 1533-position model. The record is from RNAcentral.